CAGUAGCCGCGGUAAUACGUAGGGUGCAAGCGUUAAUCGGAAUUACUGGGCGUAAAGAGCUCGUAGGCGGUCUGUCGCGUCUGGUGUGAAAUCCCGAGGCUCAACCUCGGGCUUGCAUCGGGUACGGGCAGACUAGAGUGCGGUAGGGGAGACUGGAAUUCCUGGUGUAGCGGUGGAAUGCGCAGAUAUCAGGAGGAACACCGAUGGCGAAGGCAGGUCUCUGGGCCGCAACUGACGCUGAGGAGCGAAAGCAUGGGGAGCGAACAGGAUUAGAUACCCCCGUAGUCCCUGUCUCUUAUAC
RNAcentral lists this ribosomal RNA (301 nucleotides) under uncultured bacterium. RNAcentral describes it as "partial 16S ribosomal RNA". It matches the Rfam family "Bacterial small subunit ribosomal RNA", at positions 509 to 807 of the family's 1533-position model. The record is from RNAcentral.